GACGAACGCUGGCGGCGUGCUUAACACAUGCAAGUCGAACGGUAAAGCCCCACCUUGCUGGAGUGGUUCAGUGGCGAACGGGUGAGUAACACGUGAGCAACCUGCCCCUGACUCUGGGAUAACCUCUGGAAACGGCGGCUAAUACUGGAUACGAGAAGCGUCCGCAUGGUCAGUUUCUGGAAAGUUUUUCGGUUGGGGAUGGGCUCGCGGCCUAUCAGCUUGUUGGCGAGGUAAUGGCUCACCAAGGCGUCGACGGGUAGCCGGCCUGAGAGGGCGACCGGCCACACUGGGACUGAGACACGGCCCAGACUCCUACGGGAGGCAGCAGUGGGGAAUAUUGCACAAUGGGCGAAAGCCUGAUGCAGCGACGCCGCGUGAGGGAUGACGGCCUUCGGGUUGUAAACCUCUUUCAGCAGGGAAGAAGCGAAAGUGACGGUACCGGCAGAAGAAGCACCGGCUAACUACGUG
RNAcentral lists this ribosomal RNA (468 nucleotides) under uncultured bacterium. RNAcentral's name for it is "partial 16S ribosomal RNA". It matches the Rfam family "Bacterial small subunit ribosomal RNA", at positions 28 to 507 of the family's 1533-position model. The record is from RNAcentral.